Molecule: ribosomal RNA, 502 nt
Filed under: uncultured bacterium
Lineage: Bacteria
Description: partial 16S ribosomal RNA
Rfam family: Bacterial small subunit ribosomal RNA
Source: RNAcentral
ACUCAAAGGAAUUGACGGGGACCCGCACAAGCGGUGGAGCAUGUUGUUUAAUUCGAAGCAACGCGAAGAACCUUACCUACCCUUGACAUGUCCAGUAUGGGGCCGAGAGAUUGGCUCCUUCAGUUCGGCUGGCUGGAACACAGGUGCUGCAUGGCUGUCGUCAGCUCGUGUCGUGAGAUGUUGGGUUAAGUCCCGCAACGAGCGCAACCCUCAUUGUCUGUUGCCAUCAGGUCAAGCUGGGCACUCUGACAAGACUGCCGGUGACAAGCCGGAGGAAGGCGGGGUCGAAGUCAAGUCAUCAUGGCCCGUACGGGUAGGGCCACAAACGUGCUACAAUGGCGGUGACAGUGGGCCGCGAGGCAGUGAUGCCAAGCGAAUCCCAAAAAGCCGUCUCAGUUCAGAUUGUAGUCUGCAACUCGACUACAUGAAGCUGGAAUCGCUAGUAAUCGUGGAUCAGCACGCCACGGUGAAUACGUUCCCGGGUCUUGUACACACCGCCCGU